GGGUCCGUAGCUCAGUCUGGAUAGAGCGACAGCCUUCUAAGCUGUAGGUCGCGGGUUCGAAUCCUGUCGGACCCG
This 75-nucleotide transfer RNA is filed under the name Candidatus Woesearchaeota archaeon. Its description in RNAcentral is "tRNA-Arg". It matches the Rfam family "tRNA". Rfam says of the family: Transfer RNA (tRNA) molecules are approximately 80 nucleotides in length. Their secondary structure includes four short double-helical elements and three loops (D, anti-codon, and T loops). The record is from RNAcentral. Lineage: Archaea; Nanobdellati; Candidatus Woesearchaeota.